AAAUAAGAAGCAAAAGAAUUGCAUUUAGUUUCGACCUAAAAAUUGAUUUAAAAAAAAUCCUUAUUUA
Molecule: transfer RNA, 67 nt
Filed under: Afissula sp. XL-2019
Lineage: Eukaryota; Metazoa; Arthropoda; Insecta; Coleoptera; Coccinellidae
Description: tRNA-Arg
Source: RNAcentral